Podarcis lilfordi (Lilford's wall lizard) is the source of this 74-nucleotide non-coding RNA. The record is from the annotation of a GenBank genome assembly. NCBI's taxonomy places the organism in Eukaryota, Metazoa, Chordata, Lepidosauria, Squamata, Lacertidae.
GGAGGGCUGUAGCUCAAUGGUAGAGCAUUUGCUUUGCAUUCAGAAGGUCCCAGGUUCAGUUCUUAGCAUCUCCA